CCUACGGGGGGCUGCAGUGGGGAAUAUUGCACAAUGGGGGAAACCCUGAUGCAGCGACGCCGCGUGAGUGAAGAAGUAUUUCGGUAUGUAAAGCUCUAUCAGCAGGGAAGAAGAAAGACGGUACCUGACUACGAAGCCCCGGCAAACUACGUGCCAGAAGCCGCGGUAAUACGCGGGGGGCAAGCGUUAUCCGGAUUGACUGGGGGGGAAGGGAGCGUAGACGGCUGUGGAAGGCUGAAGUGAAAGCCCAGGGCUCAACCCUGGGACUGCUUUGGAAACUGUGGAGCUAGAGUGCUGGGGAGGUAAGUGGAAUUCCUGGUGUAGCGGUGAAAUGCGUGGAUAUUAGGAGGAACACCAGUGGCAAGGGCGGCUUACUGCACAGUAACUGACGUUGAGGCUCGAAAGCGUGGGGAGCAAACAGGAUUAGAUACCCCGUAGUC
This 440-nucleotide ribosomal RNA is filed under the name uncultured bacterium. Its description in RNAcentral is "partial 16S ribosomal RNA". It matches the Rfam family "Bacterial small subunit ribosomal RNA", at positions 338 to 795 of the family's 1533-position model. The record is from RNAcentral.